Molecule: ribosomal RNA, 478 nt
Filed under: uncultured bacterium
Lineage: Bacteria
Description: partial 16S ribosomal RNA
Rfam family: Bacterial small subunit ribosomal RNA
Source: RNAcentral
GACGAACGCUGGCGGCGUGCCUAACACAUGCAAGUCGAACGGAGAUACGAUUUCGGUUGUAUCUUAGUGGCGAACGGGUGCGUAACGCGUGAGCAACCUGACUCUUAGAGGGGGAUAACACUGGGAAACGAGUGCUAAUACCGCAUAAGACCACGACAUGGCAUCAUGACGAGGUCAAAGGAGCAAUCCGCUGAGAGAGGGGCUCGCGUCCCAUUAGAUAGAUGGCGGGGUAACGGCCCACCAUGUCAACGAUGGGUAGCCGAGCUGAGAGGCUGAUCGGCCACACUGGAACUGAGACACGGUCCAGACUCCUACGGGAGGCAGCAGUGGGGAAUAUUGGACAAUGGGCGCAAGCCUGAUCCAGCCAUGCCGCGUGAGUGAUGAAGGCCUUAGGGUUGUAAAGCUCUUUCAGUAGGGAAGAUAAUGACGGUACCUACAGAAGAAGCCCCGGCUAACCUCGUGCCAGCCGCCGCGGUAA